RNAcentral lists this ribosomal RNA (720 nucleotides) under Triticum aestivum (bread wheat). Its description in RNAcentral is "partial small subunit ribosomal RNA". Lineage: Eukaryota; Viridiplantae; Streptophyta; Magnoliopsida; Poales; Poaceae. The record is from RNAcentral.
AUGAUUGUUCUCCGUCUGGAUAUCGUGCAAGAACACCGGACCCUCUCCGAGAGAGAAUUCCACCUACGGAAGCUUCUGAAACUUCGUAUCCUAGGUCUAGCGGCGGUAGAAAAAGCACGGAAGCGCUACGUGUCUAGAAUAACUUGGCUGCGAGCGGGCGACGCCCACACGGCCUUCUUCCAGGCCAAGAUCAACUCCAGACGAAGGAAAAACUUCAUCCACUCGCUACAAGGACCGGCUGGAGUUGCCAUGGCGCAUGCUGACAAAGAGGAGAUAAUCCACAACCAUUUCCACCGAUCCUUAGGAUCUGUACAUGGCCGGGCCACCACAGUAGAUUGGAACUCCAUCGACAUGCCCAGGGUGCAAGGAGGCGGGCUCGACAACCCUUUCACCGAGGAUGAAGUGUGGCAAGCAAUCAAGCAAUCGCCAGCGGAAAAAUCUCCAGGACCGGAUGGCUUCUCCGGCGUCUUCUUUAGGUCCUGCUGGCAAACACUUAAAGACGACAUCAUGGCAGCCUUCCAUCAGUUCUACAUCUCGUCGGGGGCUUGUUUUCAGAUGCUCAACACGGCUAUUGUAGUCCUGCUUCCAAAGAAAAAUGGCGUAGCUGCAAUCACAGACUAUAUGCACAUCAAUCUUAUACACUCCAUAGCAAAAUUGUUCUCCAAAGUGCUCUCCCUUCGGCUAGCAACAGUGAUCCAAAUAUUGAUAUCCCUGGCGUAG